Molecule: ribosomal RNA, 167 nt
Filed under: uncultured rumen bacterium
Lineage: Bacteria
Description: partial 16S ribosomal RNA
Rfam family: Bacterial small subunit ribosomal RNA
Source: RNAcentral
UACGGGAGGCAGCAGUGGGGAAUAUUGCACAAUGGGCGAAAGCCUGAUGCAGCGACGCCGCGUGAGCGAAGAAGUAUUUCGGUAUGUAAAGCUCUAUCAGCAGGGAAGAUAAUGACGGUACUUUAGGAGGAAGCUCCGGCUAACUACGUGCCAGCAGCCGCGGUAAU